CCUACGGGUGGCAGCAGUGGGGAAUAUUGGACAAUGGGGGGAACCCUGAUCCAGCCAUGCCGUGUGUGUGAAGAAGGCCCUCGGGUUGUAAAGCACUUUCAGUGAGGAAGAACGCCUGGUGGUUAAUACCCAUCAGGAAAGACAUCACUCACAGAAGAAGCACCGGCUAACUCCGUGCCAGCAGCCGCGGUAAUACGGAGGGUGCGAGCGUUAAUCGGAAUUACUGGGCGUAAAGCGCGCGUAGGUGGCUUGAUAGGCCGGUUGUGAAAGCCCCGGGCUCAACCUGGGAACGGCAUCCGGAACUGUCAAGCUAGAGUGCAGGAGAGGAAGGUAGAAUUCCCGGUGUAGCGGUGAAAUGCGUAGAGAUCGGGAGGAAUACCAGUGGCGAAGGCGGCCUUCUGGACUGACACUGACACUGAGGUGCGAAAGCGUGGGUAGCAAACAGGAUUAGAUACCCUGGUAGUC
Molecule: ribosomal RNA, 465 nt
Filed under: Vreelandella stevensii
Lineage: Bacteria; Pseudomonadati; Pseudomonadota; Gammaproteobacteria; Oceanospirillales; Halomonadaceae
Description: partial 16S ribosomal RNA
Rfam family: Bacterial small subunit ribosomal RNA
Source: RNAcentral